AAGUCGUAACAAGGUUUCCGUAGGUGAACCUGCGGAAGGAUCAUUACUGAAUUGUCAAACGGGUUGUUGCUGGCCCUCAUAGGGGGCAUGUGCACGCUCUGUUUACACAUCCACUCACACCUGUGCACCCUCUGUAGUUCUAUGGUCUGGGGGACCCUGUCUUCCUUCUGUGGUUCUACGUCUUUACACACACACUGCAAUAAAGUUUUAUGGAAUGUACAUCGCGUCUAACGCAAUACAAUACAACUUUCAGCAACGGAUCUCUUGGCUCUC
This 273-nucleotide unclassified non-coding RNA is filed under the name air metagenome. RNAcentral's name for it is "partial contains small subunit ribosomal RNA, internal transcribed spacer 1, and 5.8S ribosomal RNA". The stretch from base 1 to 46 matches the Rfam family "Eukaryotic small subunit ribosomal RNA", at positions 1786 to 1831 of the family's 1831-position model. The record is from RNAcentral.